This 497-nucleotide ribosomal RNA is filed under the name uncultured bacterium. RNAcentral describes it as "partial 16S ribosomal RNA". It matches the Rfam family "Bacterial small subunit ribosomal RNA", at positions 28 to 507 of the family's 1533-position model. The record is from RNAcentral.
GAUGAACGCUGGCGGCGUGCCUAAUACAUGCAAGUCGAGCGAACAGACGAGGAGCUUGCUCCUCUGACGUUAGCGGCGGACGGGUGAGUAACACGUGGAUAACCUACCUAUAAGACUGGGAUAACUUCGGGAAACCGGAGCUAAUACCGGAUAAUAUAUUGAACCGCAUGGUUCAAUAGUGAAAGACGGUUUUGCUGUCACUUAUAGCUGGAUCCGCGCCGCAUUAGCUAGUUGGUAAGGUAACGGCUUACCAAGGCGACGAUGCGUAGCCGACCUGAGAGGGUGAUCGGACACACUGGAACUGAGACACGGUCCAGACUCCGACGGUAGGCAGCAGUAGGGAAUCUUACGAAAUGGGCGAAAGCGUGACGGAGCAAAGCCGCGUGAGUGAUGAAGGUCUUCGGAUCGUAAAACUCUGUUAGUAGGGAAGAACAAAUGUGUAAGUAACUAUGCACGUCUUGACGGUACCUAAUCAGAAAGCCACGGCUAACUACGUG